CUGUGAGGAAAACAAGUUAGAGAAUGGAAAAAUAAUAUUUGGAUUUCAACGAAAUAAUAAAGAUGCAGGGGCUAUCUUUGACUUUUGCAAGAAAAUGCUAAUGUCCAAAUUCAGGCAGGUAGAUCUUACCAACCAUCAAGAGCUUCAACCCUGCUAACAGCUAAAUUUCUGUGUGUGUGUGUGUCCCCAUGAUGAAAACAUCAUUAAAGUAAAAUACCAUGAAUAGACUCUUAAGAAGCAGAGUCUACUGAAAGUCCUGGAAAAUAUGAAAGCACUAAUAUUCAUGGACAGCUCUACACUCUGAAAGUUACUCCAAAUUUUGUUGAUCUCUCUUUUGUCUAGGAGUUUUUCAAAUUUUCUACCAUGAUCAUUUGUUAGUUUUAUAAUUACAUAAUAAAGGCAUUACAUCAUACAA
Molecule: long non-coding RNA, 415 nt
Organism: Orcinus orca (killer whale)
Lineage: Eukaryota; Metazoa; Chordata; Mammalia; Artiodactyla; Delphinidae
Exons: 3
Source: RefSeq, a predicted model, not a curated record